Molecule: unclassified non-coding RNA, 277 nt
Filed under: plant metagenome
Description: partial contains small subunit ribosomal RNA, internal transcribed spacer 1, and 5.8S ribosomal RNA
Source: RNAcentral
UCUCCGUUGGUGAACCAGCGGAGGGAUCAUUACAGAGUUUAUUAUAACUCCUAAACCCAUGUGAACCUACCUUCUGUUGCCUCGGCAGGCAAGUCGUAUCUUGCUACCCUAUAGGACCCUAUCUUGUAAGACGUUACCUUAUAAUGUCCUAGCCGGUAGAGAGAUGCGGUACUACCUGCCGGUGGACUGAAAAAAAAAAUUCUGUUUAAUAAAUGGUAUUCUGAAUCAUUAUAUGGAAAUUAAGUUAAAACUUUCAACAACGGAUCUCUUGGUUCUG